RNAcentral lists this unclassified non-coding RNA (3331 nucleotides) under Hevea brasiliensis (rubber tree). The record is from RNAcentral. Lineage: Eukaryota; Viridiplantae; Streptophyta; Magnoliopsida; Malpighiales; Euphorbiaceae.
GGAAACUUGAAAAUUUUGCAUUUCCAUGACUAGGACAUGAAUUUGCAGAAACACAAGCCAUGGAUAUGAAGUGGGUUAUUCUACUUCUCUUUGUUAUAAACUAUCCAUACCUUCAUCUUGCUGUAGAAACUGAUUAUGCGUUCGCUAAGCUAUCAACAACCUGGAUCAACAAUGACUUCAUUGCUAGAGGAAGAACAAACUUUGCUGAUGGUUCUAUUAUUAGACCUGUCCUACUUAACAAUAGCAACCCUUCGAAUUUUCCUGCUAUUGGUUGUGGCUUCUAUGGCAAUCGGACUACCGACUCUUUCUUCUUUGUUGUCUUUGCAGUGCAGGCGAUAAGUGAUUCCACAUUUGUUACAACAGUUCUUCCGCAAGUUCUUUGGACAGCUAACCGGGCCAAUCCUGUCAAAGAAAAUGCCACUUUACAGUUCACCAAGGAGGGGGACUUGGUGCUCACUGAUGCCAAUGGUACGUUUGUAUGGUCCUCUAAUACAUCAAACUCAUCUAUUACUAUUAAUCAAAUGAAUGUUAGUGGCAAUGGCACUCUUCAGCUUGUUAAUUUGGAUGAAUUUAACUCGUAUAGUGAUAUCGUUUGGCAAUCUUGGGAUCUCCCUGCAGACACAUGGCUCCCAGGGCAAAUAUUACAAUCAGGGCUGCAUAAACUAACAUCCAGCAUCUCAAUUUCAAAUUUGGCACCAGGUUCAUUUUUUUUGUCUAUAGAGAAGGACAAUUUGUAUGCCUUUAUAGAUUCUAAUCCUCCCCAGAUGUACCAUCAAAUUUUCCAGCAAGGGAGUGAAACCAAGCAAUUUAAAACUGGGAGUCUUAAGAUUCUCACAAGUGUUGAUGAAAUAUCAAUUAAUUUUGAGUCUGACACAGAGGAUUUCCAAUAUUUGAGACUAGAUCCAGAUGGGCAUUUGAGAGUCUACCAAUGGAUUCAAGGGUCAGUCUCAAUAGUUGAUGAUAUAUUAACCGACAACUUAGGGAAUUGUUCUUACCCCACAGUUUGUGGAAACUAUGGUAUCUGCUCAAAUGGAGGAAGUUGCAGCUGUCCUGUCGGAAAGGAUGGUGAUAAUCGUUAUUUCACGAAGUUGAAUUCAAGUCUUGGAUGUAUGGAAGCAGAUCAGUUGUCCUGCCGGUCUUCCCAUCUGCACUCUUUGAUAGAACUUGAUGAAGUUUCUUAUUUCAGUUUUAUCCCAGCUCUUUCCAGCACUGACAUAGAAAGUUGCAAAAGAGCUUGCCUGAAAAAUUGCUCUUGCAAAGCAGCCCUUUUUCGAUACCAUUUCAGCAAUUCAAGUGGCAAUUGCUCCUUACCAUCACAGAUUUUCUCACUGAUGGGAACUCCACAAGGACUAUUUUCUUACAACUCAACAGCAUUCAUUAAGGUGCAAAGAUCAUUGGUUGCACAAAGACCACCAUCUAGUGCACCAAGCCCACCAUUUAUUGCACCAAGCCCAAACGAUUCCAUGCCUGAGCCUCCACGAAAAAAGUCAAGAAUCAUCAUGAUAAUUUUGAUAUCUGUGCUUGUUUCUACAACAAUGGCAGUUUUCCUAAUUCGGUUAUGCAUACGAUAUAUUAAACAAAGAUCUACAGAGGAAAGGAGCGAGAACAAUGUAGAUAGGGAUUGGGAGAAUUCAUUGCUUCAGGUAACAAACUUGCCGAAAAGAUUCACUUACCAAGAUUUGAAGUCUGCAACAGAAAACUUCAAUAAAAAACUUGGAGGAGGAGGAUUUGGAUCAGUUUUUGAAGGUAGUUUGAGUGAUGGUACCAAAGUUGCAGUGAAGCGCUUAGAUCGGUUUGGCCAAGGAAGAAAAGAAUUUUUAGCAGAAGUGAAGACAAUAGGUAGCAUACACCAUGUCAACCUUGUGAGGCUUGUAGGAUUCUGUGCUGAAAAUUCACACAAACUUUUAGUCUACGAACAUAUGAGCAAUGGAUCCUUGGACAAAUGGAUCUUCAAUAGAAAUCCAGAAAACACUCUUGAAUGGAAAAUUAGGAAGAAUAUCAUCCUAAAUAUUGCCAAAGGGCUAUCCUAUCUUCAUGAAGAAUGUAAAAUGAGAAUAGCCCAUUUAGAUAUCAAACCUCAAAAUAUUCUUCUUGAUGACAAAUUUGAUGCUAAACUAUCUGAUUUUGGUUUGGCAAGGCUGAUUGAUAGGAACCAAAGCCAUGUAAUCACUCAAAUGCGAGGAACGCGCGGGUAUAUGGCUCCUGAAUGGUUGAGCAGAAAAAUCACAGAAAAGGUUGAUGUAUAUAGCUUUGGUGUUGUCAUCUUGGAAAUUAUUUGUGGGAGAAAAAAUUUGGACCUCACUCAGCCAGAGGAAGAUGAUUAUUUACUUCUGCCCAUAGUGAAACAGAAGGCAGAACAGAAUCAAUUAAUUGACUUGGUUGAGAAGUGCACCAACAUGCAACAGUGCAUAGAAGAAGCUGUUGAGAUGAUAAGAAUUGCCAUUUGGUGCUUGCACAAUGAUCCCACCAAAAGGCCUUCAAUGUCUAUUGUGGUGAAGGUUUUAGAGGGUGUGAAGACUAUGGAAACUGUUUCUGAUUAUGGCUUUUUGACAUCUACUGUGGUGGAAGCUCCUGCUGAAGUCGUUGUGAUACAUUCAGAACCACAAUCAGCAUCAAUACUCUCGGGACCAAGAUGAAGCAACAAAAGGUAAAUAGGUAAUCAUUAUAUUUAGAGUGUUUACAUCGUCGCAGCAAGAAAGGCCAACUGCUUUAGCUUUUCUAAUUCAUGUCAAGAAACUGUAAUUAACCUCACUACUGUGUAUUUGAUUGUUUCUUGAUUGCCUAUAAUAGUUUUUCUUGAUUGUUUUCUGUUUGGAUCUCAAGAUAAUGAAGAAAGGAAACCUUUUUAGGCGUCUCUUAUAAUAUUCAUGCUUUUGGUAUGUAAUGAUCCAAGACAAUGAAGAUGUGCUUUUUGGUCGAUUUCAUUAAUAUAAACUUUUGUUUUCUUGCAAUCAAGUUGGUCAUUGUUCUUGAGGGUCUCUCAUAAAUUUCAGUUGAAAUGCAGGACGUUUCAUAGCUGAAGGAUAAAGUGACCACAUUGAAGAGGCAUUUAACCUAAUUUGUGAGUCCUAGAUUGAUCAUUCAAUCGCAACAUCUAUCAGAAUAAGUAGACAUGAUGAUUUUUAAGAUUUCAGAUCAAGGUAUCGGUGUGGUUCUAGACAACAAAAGUCUCAAUGAGAAUGAUUUUAUCUCUUAGGUAAUGUUUGGAUCUUGACUUGAUUGUUGAAAGUUUGAUGGAGAAAAUUUGUGUUGUUAAUAUAACUUUUUUGAAUACUCUGCUAUUAUUAUUAUUUUUUAACUGAAUCCAUUAGGAUUGAAUGUUUGUUUUGGU